This 1054-nucleotide long non-coding RNA is filed under the name Vigna radiata. RNAcentral describes it as "long non-coding RNA (VRAD_LNC009069)". Lineage: Eukaryota; Viridiplantae; Streptophyta; Magnoliopsida; Fabales; Fabaceae. The record is from RNAcentral.
GUAGGGUGCAGAUGAUGAUUGGGAAAAAUCCGCCCUCCCCAUCAACGAUGAUUCAAGACCCCGAUCAAUAACACCUCCUCUGCCUUUUGCUCUCNAGGUCUUAGUGAUUUCUUUUUUCAAAACCUCUCACCCCCAUCUACUUCUCCGUGCCCACCAGAAUCUUUUUUCUAACGGUUUUUCUUCCAACCCUCCCCAAAACCAAAUCUUGUCCCCUCUACGCACACAUACUUUUUUUUUUGUCUCCCCAAUCCAGCAUACCCUCUCGCUGCCGCUCACCACCGGUGGACAUCAAAAUGGGUUAGAAAACUUACCUUGAUACUGAAGUCACUCUCUUAUCACCCCAACCUCUCUCGGUGCUUCCUCUCUUGGUAUCCCUUCACCCUCCUGAAGAUUUUUUUUCGAGUAUUCUUGUAACCCCUCCUCUUUUGUUUCUCACGCUUUUCUCUUGCGAAUUGCCGCCUCUGCCAAACUUCAGUCUGUGUUUGUCAAACCGCCACGUUCUCUGCCACCCAAAUUUUCAUUGUACCCUCUCGCGUCUUUUUUUCAUACCAAAACCCUUUUUUUUUGUUUUUUAGCUUUUUCUCUUUACAUUAAAACAAAAUCUUUUUCAUUUUUUUUUAUAUUGCACUAAAAGACAAAACGUCUUUUUUUCUUUUUUUUUUCAUAUUAUAUUAAAACAAAAUAAAAUAUAAAAGGUAAAACAAAAAAAAUAAAAAAUAAAAAUAACAAAAAUUAAGAAAAUUAUAAAGGGAAAGUAGAAAAUAAUGUAUAAAGAGAUGGAAUAAAAUAUAAUAAAGGCAAUAAAAACAAAUAUAUAUAUAUAUAUAUAUAUAUAUAUAUAUAAAAAACGAAAAUGGAUGUUUGGGUGUUGGACGGUGUCGGAAGAGAAACACGACGCUCAUGAUUUCAUAUUCAACAAUGUCAUGGCAAUAGUAAACUUUCAUAGCAUAAACAAGUGAAUAAAGUUACCUCGUGGAAUUCCUUGGUUUAAUCUGGGUGUAACCAGUGACAGAGGACCAGUGACUGUAACCAUGGAAGAAUAAGCUCCUGANNN